GGCGGUUUAGUAAGUNUGGAGUUAAAGGCAUUGGCUCAACCAAUGUAUGCUUUGGAAACUGUUAGACUUGAGUGCAGAAGGGGAGAGUGGAAUUCCAUGUGUAGCGGUGAAAUACGUAGAUAUAUGGAGGAACACCGGUGGCGAAAGCGGCUCUCUGNUCUGUCGCUGACGCUGAGGCUNGAAAGCGUGGGUAGCGAACAGGAUUAGAUACCCUGGUAGUNCACGCCGUAAACGAUGAGUGCUAGGUGUUAGGUCCUUUCCGGGACUUAGUGCCGCAGCUAACGCAAUAAGCACUCCGCCUGGGGAGUACGACCGCAAGGUUGAAACUCAAAGGAAUUGACGGGGGCCCGCACAAGCGGUGGAGCAUGUGGUUUAAUUCGAAGCAACGCGAAGAACCUUACCAGGUCUUGACAUCCCGAUGCCCGCUCUAGAGAUAGAGUUUUUCUUCGGAACAUCGGAGACAGGUGGUGCAUGGUUGUCGUCAGCUCGUGUCGUGAGAUGUUGGGUUAAGUCCCGCAACGAGCGCAACCCUUAUUGUUAGUUGCCAUCAUUGAGUUGGGCACUCUAGCGAGACUGCCGGUAAUAAACCGGAGGAAGGUGGGGAUGACGUCAAAUCAUCAUGCCCCUUAUGACCUGGGCUACACACGUGCUACAAUGGUUGGUACAACGAGUCGCAAGCCGGUGACGGCAAGCUAAUCUCUGAAAGCCAAUCUCAGUUCGGAUUGUAGGCUGCAACUCGCCUACAUGAAGUCGGAAUCGCUAGUAAUCGCGGAUCAGCACGCCGCGGUGAAUACGUUCCCGGGCCUUGUACACACCGCCCGUCACACCACGAGAGUUUGUAACACCCAAAGUCGGUGAGGUAACCAUAUAGGAGCCA
RNAcentral lists this ribosomal RNA (877 nucleotides) under uncultured bacterium. RNAcentral's name for it is "bacterial SSU rRNA". It matches the Rfam family "Bacterial small subunit ribosomal RNA", at positions 574 to 1451 of the family's 1533-position model. The record is from RNAcentral.